GUUAUAAUCAACAGAAAGACAUACCAUCAGCAGGGAGUUGAACCCAGAACCAGUCUGUUCACCAAAACUGUGGAAAACUAAGAAGCCCUAAAGACCUGUGCACUGAUCAGCCAGCUUGUGAACUCAGUCCAAGAUGAGGUCAACGAUCUCCUUGUCAAUGAUGUAGUGGCCUCAUGCAUAGCCAUUGGCAGCAUCUUCCUUGGCUGGGAUGAGCUUCUCAGGGUGGAAGAGGUGGCUAGUAGGUGUCAGGGUAAACUGUGUUAAUAACUGUGGGUUCCAGAUCUACAAACAUGGUCCUGGGCACAUGCUUUUCAGUGCCUGUCUCACUGAAGAAGGUGUUAAAGGAGUCAUCUCCCCCUCAAAUUGUCUUGUCUUGUCACUUGGCAUCUGGCCAUGGUGCUGGAUGCCAUGUUCCAGGCAGUAGAGUUACCAGCUGGAGCUGCCAGUCUGGACACCAGGCUGGCCAAUGUGGAUGGAGAUGCACUCACACAUAGUGGCUAAGAGUUAGGAGGCUAAAGCGACAGGAGCAGAUAACGGGUCCAAUGACCGAUCCCAACAAGCUAAGAGUCAAGGCUACUCAAGUGAAGCAGUAGAAGUGGACAAGGAACAAAAAAAUCUACUCACAGCUGGAGAAAAUUUGUGUCAAGAUGAAUCAUGUUUUGAAUCUUCUCUCAUGUCAGAUUUAGAUAACUGUUUGGACUAUGGACCUCUUAGUUGAUGCUGGAAAGUGUUAAGAUUUUGGGGACUAUUAAGGUGAAAUAAAUGUAUUUUGCAUGUGAGAAAGACAUUAAUUUUGGGGGCUGUGGUGGAGAGCUAUGGCUUGAAUGUGUCCCCUAAGAAGCAUGUGUUGGAAACUUAAUCCCCAGUGCAACAGUGUUGGAAAGUUGGGCGUAAGAAAAGAUGUUUAUGUCAUAAGGGCUCCACCCACAUGAAUGCAUUAUUACUGAUUGUUAAAAGGCUUGAGGCUGCAAGUUUGAUCUCUCUCAUACACAAGCAUAUGUGGUUUCUUGCUCUUCUGUCUUUCACCAUGGGAUGGCUCAGUGAGAAGACUCUAACCAGAUGUAGGCCCCCUUGACUUUGAACUUCUCAGCCUCUCGAGCUGUAAGAAAUAAAUCACUGCUUUUUAAAUAAAUUAUCCAGUUUCAGAUAUUCUUUUGUAGCAGCAAAAAAUGGACUAUGACAUGGAGCUUUAAGAGACAUCUGAUAAAAAUAAAAUUUAAGUGAAAACGUGGGCAGAUAGGAUGAGAACCUGUCCCAUGAAAAAACCCUGUGUAGUCACUAGGUGAGAGAAGAAAUUCAGAACACCAUGUCUUCACUCUAUAUGUGUACAUCCUAGAGAUGAAGAAUUAUAGAUUAAAAAACCAAAAUUACUAUUUAAUUAUUUUGUAUAACAAAAUGAGACACUACCAUCACUUUUUGAGACACUUAUAUCUAUGUCAACCAAAAAGCAAAUCCCAAUUUUUCCUCCCCAUACAACAGACCAUCACAUAAACUCCGCCCUGUGAGGGCCCAGGCCAUCUAAUUACAGCAUUGCAGCUAUCACAACUAAGCCAAGUAUCUCAGGAGAAAAAAAGCUACCUGUUUCUAGCCACACAAUUAAGCCAUGUAAACACAUGUCAUACUUUGUGUCAAAGCAGUGAUAGUAUCAGUUACUUAGAGAUGAAUAACUGGUGCUUGGGACUGGAGCAGCCUUGAGACAAGAAUAUCACUCAUCAGUCCCAAAGAAAUGGCAGAGGAGGAACCAUGGCUGGAAAAGCAGACGCUAUAGUGGAAGACAACCUUUUAGGCUUCCUCAAAAGCCUGGAGUUGGGGUAUCUUGCUGGUAAUUGAAAUUCCUAUGUAAAAUGUUGGAAUAAAGAAUAAAGUUAAUUUGGGUGUGUUCUAUUUUUUCCACAUAAACUUGCAAGUUAGACCCACAGUUUUUGCUUAUGUAUCAAUGUUAUAAUAUGCUACUUUAACACUAGUGCUAGUUUAUUAAUCCUAUGAGUUCAACUGUGUAAUUUUCAUUUUUUUGCUGUGUUUUGUAGGAUUUUAUGUAGUUUAAUGUUUUCCUCCAUAUCUGAAAUAAAAUUUA
This 2074-nucleotide long non-coding RNA is filed under the name Homo sapiens (human). RNAcentral's name for it is "HSALNT0403376". The record is from RNAcentral. Lineage: Eukaryota; Metazoa; Chordata; Mammalia; Primates; Hominidae.